CCUGGUCAGGAGAACGCUGGCGGCGUGCCUAAUCAUGCAAGUCGAGCGAACAGAUAAGGAGCUUGCUCCUUUGACGUUAGCGGCGGACGGGUGAGUAACACGUGGAUAACCUACCUAUAAGACUGGGAUAACUUCGGGAAACCGGAGCUAAUACCGGAUAACAUAUUGAACCGCAUGGUUCAAUAGUGAAAGGCGGCUUUGCUGUCACUUAUAGAUGGAUCCGCGCCGUAUUAGCUAGUUGGUAAGGUAACGGCUUACCAAGGCAACGAUACGUAGCCGACCUGAGAGGGUGAUCGGCCACACUGGAACUGAGACACGGUCCAGACUCCUACGGGAGGCAGCAGUAGGGAAUCUUCCGCAAUGGGCGAAAGCCUGACGGAGCAACGCCGCGUGAGUGAUGAAGGUCUUCGGAUCGUAAAACUCUGUUAUCAGGGAAGAACAAAUGUGUAAGUAACUGUGCACAUCUUGACGGUACCUGAUCAGAAAGCCACGGCUAACUACGUGCCAGCAGCCGCGGUAAUACGUAGGUGGCAAGCGUUAUCCGGAAUUAUUGGGCGUAAAGCGCGCGUAGGCGGUUUUUUAAGUCUGAUGUGAAAGCCCACGGCUCAACCGUGGAGGGUCAUUGGAAACUGGAAAACUUGAGUGCAGAAGAGGAAAGUGGAAUUCCAUGUGUAGCGGUGAAAUGCGCAGAGAUAUGGAGGAACACCAGUGGCGAAGGCGACUUUCUGGUCUGUAACUGACGCUGAUGUGCGAAAGCGUGGGGAUCAAACAGGAUUAGAUACCCUGGUAGUCCACGCCGUAAACGAUGAGUGCUAAGUGUUAGGGGGUUUCCGCCCCUUAGUGCUGCAGCUAACGCAUUAAGCACUCCGCCUGGGGAGUACGACCGCAAGGUUGAAACUCAAAGGAAUUGACGGGGACCCGCACAAGCGGUGGAGCAUGUGGUUUAAUUCGAAGCAACGCGAAGAACCUUACCAAAUCUUGACAUCCUUUGACCGCUCUAGAGAUAGAGUCUUCCCCUUCGGGGGACAAAGUGACAGGUGGUGCAUGGUUGUCGUCAGCUCGUGUCGUGAGAUGUUGGGUUAAGUCCCGCAACGAGCGCAACCCUUAAGCUUAGUUGCCAUCAUUAAGUUGGGCACUCUAAGUUG
This 1145-nucleotide ribosomal RNA is filed under the name Staphylococcus pasteuri. RNAcentral describes it as "bacterial SSU rRNA". It matches the Rfam family "Bacterial small subunit ribosomal RNA", at positions 19 to 1147 of the family's 1533-position model. The record is from RNAcentral. Lineage: Bacteria; Bacillati; Bacillota; Bacilli; Caryophanales; Staphylococcaceae.